RNAcentral lists this ribosomal RNA (377 nucleotides) under uncultured organism. RNAcentral describes it as "partial 16S ribosomal RNA". It matches the Rfam family "Bacterial small subunit ribosomal RNA", at positions 527 to 896 of the family's 1533-position model. The record is from RNAcentral.
GGAGGGAGCAAGCGUUGUCCGGAUUUACUGGGCGUAAAGCGCGCGUAGGUGGUCCAUUAAGUCGGCUGUGAAAGCGCUGGGCUCAACCCAGCAAUGUCAGUCGAUACUGGUGGACUUGAGUCCGGGAGAGGGAAGCGGAAUUGCUGGUGUAGCGGUGGAAUGUGUAGAUAUCAGCAAGAACACCGGUGGCGAAGGCGGCUUCCUGGACCGGUACUGACACUGAGGCGCGAAAGCUAGGGGGGGAGCGAACGGGAUUAGAUACCCCGGUAGUCCUAGCCGUAAACGAUGGUCACUAGGUGUUGGGGGGUAUCGACCCCCCUCCAGUGCCGAAGCUAACGCAUUAAGUGACCCGCCUGGGGAGUACGGCCGCAAGGCUG